AACGCGAAGAACCUUACCAAGGCUUGACAUAUACGAGAACGGGCCAGAAAUGGUCAACUCUUUGGACACUCGUAUACAGGUGGUGCAUGGUUGUCGUCAGCUCGUGUCGUGAGAUGUUGGGUUAAGUCCCGCAACGAGCGCAACCCUCGUUCUAUGUUGCCAGCACGUAAUGGUGGGAACUCAUGGGAUACUGCCGGGGUCAACUCGGAGGAAGGUGGGGAUGACGUCAAAUCAUCAUGCCCCUUAUGUCUUGGGCUUCACGCAUGCUACAAUGGCCGGUACAAAGGGCUGCAAUACCGUGAGGUGGAGCGAAUCCCAAAAAGCCGGUCCCAGUUCGGAUUGAGGUCUGCAACUCGACCUCAUGAAGUCGGAGUCGCUAGUAAUCGCAGAUCAGCAACGCUGCGGUGAAUACGUUCCCGGGUCUUGUACACACCG
This 435-nucleotide ribosomal RNA is filed under the name uncultured Microbacterium sp. Its description in RNAcentral is "bacterial SSU rRNA". It matches the Rfam family "Bacterial small subunit ribosomal RNA", at positions 958 to 1392 of the family's 1533-position model. The record is from RNAcentral. Lineage: Bacteria; Bacillati; Actinomycetota; Actinomycetes; Micrococcales; Microbacteriaceae.